RNAcentral lists this ribosomal RNA (504 nucleotides) under uncultured bacterium. RNAcentral's name for it is "partial 16S ribosomal RNA". It matches the Rfam family "Bacterial small subunit ribosomal RNA", at positions 30 to 523 of the family's 1533-position model. The record is from RNAcentral.
AUUGAACGCUGGCGGCAGGCCUAACACAUGCAAGUCGAACGGUAGCACAGAGAGCUUGCUCUUGGGUGACGAGUGGCGGACGGGUGAGUAAUGUCUGGGAAACUGCCCGAUGGAGGGGGAUAACUACUGGAAACGGUAGCUAAUACCGCAUAACGUCUUCGGACCAAAGUGGGGGACCUUCGGGCCUCACACCAUCGGAUGUGCCCAGAUGGGAUUAGCUAGUAGGUGGGGUAAAGGCUCACCUAGGCGACGGUCCCUAGCUGGUCUGAGAGGAUGACCAGCCACACUGGAACUGAGACACGGUCCAGACUCCUACGGGAGGCAGCAGUGGGGAAUAUUGCACAAUGGGCGCAAGCCUGAUGCAGCCAUGACGCGUGUAUGAAGAAGGCCUUCGGGUUGUAAAGUACUUUCAGCGGGGAGGAAGGCGUUAAGGUAAAUAACCUUGGCGAUUGACGUUACCCGCAGAAGAAGCACCGGCUAACUCCGUGCCAGCCGCCGCCGUAA